UGUGUAUGAGUCGAUCCUAUAAGUCAACCUCUGCAGCAAUGCAGGCCAAACUUACAGAACAGUCGUUUUCUGUUCUGUGCCACAGAGGUCGAUCCUAUGAGUCUACCCCUGUGCAUGAGUCGACCCUAUGAGUUGACCUCUACUGCAAUAUAAGCUAAAUUUACAGAAGUCAUUUUCUGUUCUGUGCCACAGAAGUCAA
This 199-nucleotide long non-coding RNA is filed under the name Elaeis guineensis (African oil palm). Its description in RNAcentral is "long non-coding RNA (EGUI_LNC073347)". The record is from RNAcentral. Lineage: Eukaryota; Viridiplantae; Streptophyta; Magnoliopsida; Arecales; Arecaceae.